GACGAACGCUGGCGGCGUGCUUAACACAUGCAAGUCGAACGGAAAGGCCCUGCUUGCAGGGUGCUCGAGUGGCGAACGGGUGAGUAACACGUGGGUGCUCUGCCCCUUACUUUGGGAUAAGCCUGGGAAACUGGGUCUAAUACUGGAUAGGACCAUGCUGUUGGUGGUGUGGUGGAAAGAUUAGUUUCGGUAAGGGAUGAGCUCGCGGCCUAUCAGCUUGUUGGUGGGGUAAUGGCCUACCAAGGCGUCGACGGGUAGCCGGCCUGAGAGGGUGGACGGCCACAUUGGGACUGAGAUACGGCGCAGACUCCUACGGGAGGCAGCAGUGGGGAAUAGUGCACAAUGGGCGCAAGCCUGAUGCAGCGACGCCGCGUGGGGGAUGACGGCCUUCGGGUUGUAAACUCCUUUCGGCCAUGACGAAGCCCUUGUGGUGACGGUAGUGGUAGAAGAAGCACCGGCUAACUACGUG
Molecule: ribosomal RNA, 469 nt
Filed under: uncultured bacterium
Lineage: Bacteria
Description: partial 16S ribosomal RNA
Rfam family: Bacterial small subunit ribosomal RNA
Source: RNAcentral